AUGUGCCACGCGUACACUUCGCCUCCCUUGCGCCGUCCGCAUCGACCUGACGACCGCUCGCUACGGUUUGAUAGCC
Molecule: small RNA, 76 nt
Filed under: Xanthomonas floridensis
Lineage: Bacteria; Pseudomonadati; Pseudomonadota; Gammaproteobacteria; Lysobacterales; Lysobacteraceae
Description: sX9 sRNA
Rfam family: Xanthomonas sRNA sX9
Source: RNAcentral